Adelges cooleyi (spruce gall adelgid) is the source of this 9857-nucleotide RNA transcript. RefSeq lists it as uncharacterized. NCBI's taxonomy places the organism in Eukaryota, Metazoa, Arthropoda, Insecta, Hemiptera, Adelgidae. The transcript has 3 exons. The record is from RefSeq and is a predicted model, not a curated record.
GCUCUUGUUAAAAAUGGUUAUAAGCACCAAGCUUACGGGCCGUGCAUUUAAUUGUACUAAAUAUAAAACUUUAGCAUCAUGGGAGGAGUUGAAGAAAUCAUUGCUUGACGCGUUUGAAACACCUUUUGCAGCGGCUAACUUACAAAUUCAAUUAAAUAUAAUAAGAAUGAACAAAAAUGAAACAGUUAAUAGUUAUAAUGAACGGGUAGAUGAAGUUUAUCAAAAAUUAUGUAACGCUUUAGCCGCAGGGAAAUCAAAGGAAGACGCGAAAAUUAUAAAUGAAAACGUAAAAACACAGGCUCUGGUUAGUUAUAUUAAUGGGUUAAAUGAACAACUUAAAUUUGAAGUUAAAACUAAAAAUCCUCUUACACUUGAUAGUGCUAUGCAAACCGCAGUCCUAGCCGAAAAGGACUUGAUCACUUACAGAGGGGUACAGGAUAUGUUUAAAUCACAAAACGCAGGGAAUAAUUUUAAUACGGGUCCAAAUAACAACGGGAAUAGGGGUUUUCAGUCACCAAGGAAUAAUGGCAAUAAUAAUAAUCGGGGUAACAAUUUUAAUGGUAAUCGUCCUAAUGUAGAUAAUAGACGUUGUAGGAUUUGCAAUCAAAUAGGUCAUAUAUCCUAUAAUUGUAGACUAAACACUAACAAUGGCAAUAAUAAUAAUAGACCUCCACCUCAGCAAAAUAGGCAAAUUAUCAAUCGGGGAAUUUUAAUUCGAAUAAUGCGGGUCCCAUUGUCUGUAAUUAUUGUGGCAAAAUCGGUCACGGGGAGUCUGUUUGGCAUGAAUAGUGCAUUGUGGGCGGACUAGUUGCACAGAUGGUACUAUAAAAACCUGUUUCAUCGUUAAAACGUUUAGUAUAUUAAUUUUACCCAUUGUGGCCUCACGAACUGCAUAUAAAUAAGCUCAAAUAUGGAUCUCGGUAUCAGUCAAUUUCCAAACUUGCAAUUGACACAAUUGUACUCGUCGCGCAACAAAAAUUACAACGAUCAUGGACUUGCAAGAGACCGAAGUGUUCACCCAGGAACAUCCGCCGACUCCACCGACAACGCCGGUGAAACCGAAAAAACAAACAACUCUCAAACGGCGAUCCAAUACAAAAAUGGGGUUUUCUUCAACACUGGAACAACAGAAUAAAAAAAAACAAACCAAUCAAGUAAUAGAACUAGUGGACUCCGAGGACGAAUCGAAUCAGAAAACAUGGAAAGAAAUGCAAUCUACAACUCUGCUGAACUUACCGUUGAAAACCAUCGUAGACCUGGCAGACUUUCAGUAUUUUUCGGGCUUCAUGGAAGUACUAUUGACGGACGACGUACUAAUACAAACGUUAACGCUAAUGCCAACAAUUUCGGUGGUCGUGAUGAUGGCUAUUUUGGUGAACAAGAACCCGAUGCCGAACUUGUCCAGAGCCGAAGUAUUAUCAACACUGCUAAACUUCCAGCUCUGGAAAAGUCCGACAUUAAGAGUCAUGAUAAACUUGAAGAACAAAAUGUAUUCAAUUCCGGUAUCCCUCGAUCCAAAUACCGAAAACGCUCAGCACAACAAGAAUCUGUUCGAUUCGUAUCUAAUACUGCUGGGUCAGAUUUAUUGGAAAACAGAGGAUUGCUUAGAGAAUACGCCGUUAAGUUGUAUAACGAAUAUAUGGGAAGAAAUUCCGCUUACCUCUCGGACAUAUGUGUCCCUGAGGGACGCGAAGAAUUUAUUAAAUUAUAUGAUGAACUUAACAUGGGACUCCAACAAUGCGAUCAAUCAACGCGUGAACAAUUCCGACUCGCCUCAGAACACGGCGACCACGUCCACAUCGUCCACGCGUGUACUUACUCAAACGCAGCUUGUCGCUGUUCCUGGCUCCGUCGCAGCAGCAUCUGGAGAACACGUAGAAGAGUUCGAUAUCGACGACGAAUUUUCGUCGCUGAAUUCGAAAUUGACGACUGGGAAAAUAUCCUUAGAUAUUUCUCUACAAAAGGACACGCAAUCCAAGACUGCAAAGGCUCAUGUCCUUAUGGAGGACUAUGUUUACGAACUCAAGAUGUACAAGAAGGAGGAUAUACGCAAUCUAGACAAGUCUCAAUGGUACACCCGUGUCCACGUCAAAGCGGUGGGGACAGUGAAACGAGAUCAUCCGACCAAGAAGAAACUGGACGGACUGGUUGGCGAUCUCAUGGCCGAUUUAAAAACCAAAUCAAAUCUGCGAAUGGAGAAGACGUUCACUUAUGGCCAAAAACAUUAGACGAUUUAUUACUAACAUAUCCGUGCUGCCCGCCAGACGCCUUUUUUAACAUUAAAGAAUUUUACGAUAAUCCCAAAUUAAAUUACUUAGACGAAUCGUCUAAAAAAGUUCGAGUCGCCUUGCGCAAUUGGUGUGCCCGUAUUGCCGAAUGGUCCAUAUCUGAUUUCGAUAAAUUUUAUAACGCACCAGGUGUAUUUCCUUAUUUUAAUGCUUAUGCUCGUCAACACGAUCAAGUGUAUUACGACGUUAAUUUUUCAGUGAAAAUAGCCAAUGAUUUAUUAGAAUUACAAUGAGUACGAGCAAUCCCCGUGUAGUCUUUAUGAAAAGAGUCGUAAAUCUUGCUUUAAAUAAUUGCACCAACCAUCUUGCACCCAGACACACAUUAAAUACCAUAAUAACUGAAGUAAAUUCAGAGUUAAUUAUAAAAUUUGAUGACCAUUAUUUGAGAAGCAUUGAAAAAGAUAUUACAAAUUUAAUGAGGGAACUUUAUGGGUCCUUACGACCAUACAACAUCUCAAUGGCACUCGUAAACGCCGCCAUAGAGGGGGAUAGCUUAUUAGAUCCAAUUUUUGAACAUGAAAAUACGACAGAUAAAGCGAAAUAUUUUACUAAAGUACUAAAAAUAGCAUUUGAAAAUUGCACUAUUUAUAGAAGAAGACGAUUCGUAUCUAAUACUGCUGGGUCAGAUUUAUUGGAAAACAGAGGAUUGCUUAGAGAAUACGCCGUUAAGUUGUAUAACGAAUAUAUGGGAAGAAAUUCCGCUUACCUCUCGGACAUAUGUGUCCCUGAGGGACGCGAAGAAUUUAUUAAAUUAUAUGAUGAACUUAACAUGGGACUCCAACAAUGCGAUCAAUCAACGCGUGAACAAUUCCGACUCGUCUCAGAACACGGCGACCACGUCCACAUCGUCCACGCGUGUACUUACUCAAACGCAGCUUGUCGCUGUUCCUGGCUCCGUCGCAGCAGCAUCUGGAGAACACGUAGAAGAGUUCGAUAUCGACGACGAAUUUUCGUCGCUGAAUUCGAAAUUGACGACUGGGAAAAUAUCCUUAGAUAUUUCUCUACAAAAGGACACGCAAUCCAAGACUGCAAAGGCUCAUGUCCUUAUGGAGGACUAUGUUUACGAACUCAAGAUGUACAAGUAAGUUGUGAAUAUCAUUUUACGUAUUAUCGACUAAUGCCUAUGAAUUAUAGGAAGGAGGAUAUACGCAAUCUAGACAAGUCUCAAUGGUACACCCGUGUCCACGUCAAAGCGGUGGGGACAGUGAAACGAGAUCAUCCGACCAAGAAGAAACUGGACGGACUGGUUGGCGAUCUCAUGGCCGAUUUAAAAACCAAAUCAAAUCUGCGAAUGGAGAAGACGUUCACUUAUGGCCAAAAACAUUAGACGAUUUAUUACUAACAUAUCCGUGCUGCCCGCCAGACGCCUUUUUUAACAUUAAAGAAUUUUACGAUAAUCCCAAAUUAAAUUACUUAGACGAAUCGUCUAAAAAAGUUCGAGUCGCCUUGCGCAAUUGGUGUGCCCGUAUUGCCGAAUGGUCCAUAUCUGAUUUCGAUAAAUUUUAUAACGCACCAGGUGUAUUUCCUUAUUUUAAUGCUUAUGCUCGUCAACACGAUCAAGUGUAUUACGACGUUAAUUUUUCAGUGAAAAUAGCCAAUGAUUUAUUAGAAUUACAAUGAGUACGAGCAAUCCCCGUGUAGUCUUUAUGAAAAGAGUCGUAAAUCUUGCUUUAAAUAAUUGCACCAACCAUCUUGCACCCAGACACACAUUAAAUACCAUAAUAACUGAAGUAAAUUCAGAGUUAAUUAUAAAAUUUGAUGACCAUUAUUUGAGAAGCAUUGAAAAAGAUAUUACAAAUUUAAUGAGGGAACUUUAUGGGUCCUUACGACCAUACAACAUCUCAAUGGCACUCGUAAACGCCGCCAUAGAGGGGGAUAGCUUAUUAGAUCCAAUUUUUGAACAUGAAAAUACGACAGAUAAAGCGAAAUAUUUUACUAAAGUACUAAAAAUAGCAUUUGAAAAUUGCACUAUUUAUAGAAGAAGACGAUUCGUAUCUAAUACUGCUGGGUCAGAUUUAUUGGAAAACAGAGGAUUGCUUAGAGAAUACGCCGUUAAGUUGUAUAACGAAUAUAUGGGAAGAAAUUCCGCUUACCUCUCGGACAUAUGUGUCCCUGAGGGACGCGAAGAAUUUAUUAAAUUAUAUGAUGAACUUAACAUGGGACUCCAACAAUGCGAUCAAUCAACGCGUGAACAAUUCCGACUCGUCUCAGAACACGGCGACCACGUCCACAUCGUCCACGCGUGUACUUACUCAAACGCAGCUUGUCGCUGUUCCUGGCUCCGUCGCAGCAGCAUCUGGAGAACACGUAGAAGAGUUCGAUAUCGACGACGAAUUUUCGUCGCUGAAUUCGAAAUUGACGACUGGGAAAAUAUCCUUAGAUAUUUCUCUACAAAAGGACACGCAAUCCAAGACUGCAAAGGCUCAUGUCCUUAUGGAGGACUAUGUUUACGAACUCAAGAUGUACAAGUAAGUUGUGAAUAUCAUUUUACGUAUUAUCGACUAAUGCCUAUGAAUUAUAGGAAGGAGGAUAUACGCAAUCUAGACAAGUCUCAAUGGUACACCCGUGUCCACGUCAAAGCGGUGGGGACAGUGAAACGAGAUCAUCCGACCAAGAAGAAACUGGACGGACUGGUUGGCGAUCUCAUGGCCGAUUUAAAAACCAAAUCAAAUCUGCGAAUGGAGAAGACGUUCACUUAUGGCCAAAAACAUUAGACGAUUUAUUACUAACAUAUCCGUGCUGCCCGCCAGACGCCUUUUUUAACAUUAAAGAAUUUUACGAUAAUCCCAAAUUAAAUUACUUAGACGAAUCGUCUAAAAAAGUUCGAGUCGCCUUGCGCAAUUGGUGUGCCCGUAUUGCCGAAUGGUCCAUAUCUGAUUUCGAUAAAUUUUAUAACGCACCAGGUGUAUUUCCUUAUUUUAAUGCUUAUGCUCGUCAACACGAUCAAGUGUAUUACGACGUUAAUUUUUCAGUGAAAAUAGCCAAUGAUUUAUUAGAAUUACAAUGAGUACGAGCAAUCCCCGUGUAGUCUUUAUGAAAAGAGUCGUAAAUCUUGCUUUAAAUAAUUGCACCAACCAUCUUGCACCCAGACACACAUUAAAUACCAUAAUAACUGAAGUAAAUUCAGAGUUAAUUAUAAAAUUUGAUGACCAUUAUUUGAGAAGCAUUGAAAAAGAUAUUACAAAUUUAAUGAGGGAACUUUAUGGGUCCUUACGACCAUACAACAUCUCAAUGGCACUCGUAAACGCCGCCAUAGAGGGGGAUAGCUUAUUAGAUCCAAUUUUUGAACAUGAAAAUACGACAGAUAAAGCGAAAUAUUUUACUAAAGUACUAAAAAUAGCAUUUGAAAAUUGCACUAUUUAUAGAAGAAGACGAUUCGUAUCUAAUACUGCUGGGUCAGAUUUAUUGGAAAACAGAGGAUUGCUUAGAGAAUACGCCGUUAAGUUGUAUAACGAAUAUAUGGGAAGAAAUUCCGCUUACCUCUCGGACAUAUGUGUCCCUGAGGGACGCGAAGAAUUUAUUAAAUUAUAUGAUGAACUUAACAUGGGACUCCAACAAUGCGAUCAAUCAACGCGUGAACAAUUCCGACUCGUCUCAGAACACGGCGACCACGUCCACAUCGUCCACGCGUGUACUUACUCAAACGCAGCUUGUCGCUGUUCCUGGCUCCGUCGCAGCAGCAUCUGGAGAACACGUAGAAGAGUUCGAUAUCGACGACGAAUUUUCGUCGCUGAAUUCGAAAUUGACGACUGGGAAAAUAUCCUUAGAUAUUUCUCUACAAAAGGACACGCAAUCCAAGACUGCAAAGGCUCAUGUCCUUAUGGAGGACUAUGUUUACGAACUCAAGAUGUACAAGUAAGUUGUGAAUAUCAUUUUACGUAUUAUCGACUAAUGCCUAUGAAUUAUAGGAAGGAGGAUAUACGCAAUCUAGACAAGUCUCAAUGGUACACCCGUGUCCACGUCAAAGCGGUGGGGACAGUGAAACGAGAUCAUCCGACCAAGAAGAAACUGGACGGACUGGUUGGCGAUCUCAUGGCCGAUUUAAAAACCAAAUCAAAUCUGCGAAUGGAGAAGACGUUCACUUAUGGCCAAAAACAUUAGACGAUUUAUUACUAACAUAUCCGUGCUGCCCGCCAGACGCCUUUUUUAACAUUAAAGAAUUUUACGAUAAUCCCAAAUUAAAUUACUUAGACGAAUCGUCUAAAAAAGUUCGAGUCGCCUUGCGCAAUUGGUGUGCCCGUAUUGCCGAAUGGUCCAUAUCUGAUUUCGAUAAAUUUUAUAACGCACCAGGUGUAUUUCCUUAUUUUAAUGCUUAUGCUCGUCAACACGAUCAAGUGUAUUACGACGUUAAUUUUUCAGUGAAAAUAGCCAAUGAUUUAUUAGAAUUACAAUGAGUACGAGCAAUCCCCGUGUAGUCUUUAUGAAAAGAGUCGUAAAUCUUGCUUUAAAUAAUUGCACCAACCAUCUUGCACCCAGACACACAUUAAAUACCAUAAUAACUGAAGUAAAUUCAGAGUUAAUUAUAAAAUUUGAUGACCAUUAUUUGAGAAGCAUUGAAAAAGAUAUUACAAAUUUAAUGAGGGAACUUUAUGGGUCCUUACGACCAUACAACAUCUCAAUGGCACUCGUAAACGCCGCCAUAGAGGGGGAUAGCUUAUUAGAUCCAAUUUUUGAACAUGAAAAUACGACAGAUAAAGCGAAAUAUUUUACUAAAGUACUAAAAAUAGCAUUUGAAAAUUGCACUAUUUAUAGAAGAAGACGAUUCGUAUCUAAUACUGCUGGGUCAGAUUUAUUGGAAAACAGAGGAUUGCUUAGAGAAUACGCCGUUAAGUUGUAUAACGAAUAUAUGGGAAGAAAUUCCGCUUACCUCUCGGACAUAUGUGUCCCUGAGGGACGCGAAGAAUUUAUUAAAUUAUAUGAUGAACUUAACAUGGGACUCCAACAAUGCGAUCAAUCAACGCGUGAACAAUUCCGACUCGUCUCAGAACACGGCGACCACGUCCACAUCGUCCACGCGUGUACUUACUCAAACGCAGCUUGUCGCUGUUCCUGGCUCCGUCGCAGCAGCAUCUGGAGAACACGUAGAAGAGUUCGAUAUCGACGACGAAUUUUCGUCGCUGAAUUCGAAAUUGACGACUGGGAAAAUAUCCUUAGAUAUUUCUCUACAAAAGGACACGCAAUCCAAGACUGCAAAGGCUCAUGUCCUUAUGGAGGACUAUGUUUACGAACUCAAGAUGUACAAGUAAGUUGUGAAUAUCAUUUUACGUAUUAUCGACUAAUGCCUAUGAAUUAUAGGAAGGAGGAUAUACGCAAUCUAGACAAGUCUCAAUGGUACACCCGUGUCCACGUCAAAGCGGUGGGGACAGUGAAACGAGAUCAUCCGACCAAGAAGAAACUGGACGGACUGGUUGGCGAUCUCAUGGCCGAUUUAAAAACCAAAUCAAAUCUGCGAAUGGAGAAGACGUUCACUUAUGGCCAAAAACAUUAGACGAUUUAUUACUAACAUAUCCGUGCUGCCCGCCAGACGCCUUUUUUAACAUUAAAGAAUUUUACGAUAAUCCCAAAUUAAAUUACUUAGACGAAUCGUCUAAAAAAGUUCGAGUCGCCUUGCGCAAUUGGUGUGCCCGUAUUGCCGAAUGGUCCAUAUCUGAUUUCGAUAAAUUUUAUAACGCACCAGGUGUAUUUCCUUAUUUUAAUGCUUAUGCUCGUCAACACGAUCAAGUGUAUUACGACGUUAAUUUUUCAGUGAAAAUAGCCAAUGAUUUAUUAGAAUUACAAUGAGUACGAGCAAUCCCCGUGUAGUCUUUAUGAAAAGAGUCGUAAAUCUUGCUUUAAAUAAUUGCACCAACCAUCUUGCACCCAGACACACAUUAAAUACCAUAAUAACUGAAGUAAAUUCAGAGUUAAUUAUAAAAUUUGAUGACCAUUAUUUGAGAAGCAUUGAAAAAGAUAUUACAAAUUUAAUGAGGGAACUUUAUGGGUCCUUACGACCAUACAACAUCUCAAUGGCACUCGUAAACGCCGCCAUAGAGGGGGAUAGCUUAUUAGAUCCAAUUUUUGAACAUGAAAAUACGACAGAUAAAGCGAAAUAUUUUACUAAAGUACUAAAAAUAGCAUUUGAAAAUUGCACUAUUUAUAGAAGAAGACGAUUCGUAUCUAAUACUGCUGGGUCAGAUUUAUUGGAAAACAGAGGAUUGCUUAGAGAAUACGCCGUUAAGUUGUAUAACGAAUAUAUGGGAAGAAAUUCCGCUUACCUCUCGGACAUAUGUGUCCCUGAGGGACGCGAAGAAUUUAUUAAAUUAUAUGAUGAACUUAACAUGGGACUCCAACAAUGCGAUCAAUCAACGCGUGAACAAUUCCGACUCGUCUCAGAACACGGCGACCACGUCCACAUCGUCCACGCGUGUACUUACUCAAACGCAGCUUGUCGCUGUUCCUGGCUCCGUCGCAGCAGCAUCUGGAGAACACGUAGAAGAGUUCGAUAUCGACGACGAAUUUUCGUCGCUGAAUUCGAAAUUGACGACUGGGAAAAUAUCCUUAGAUAUUUCUCUACAAAAGGACACGCAAUCCAAGACUGCAAAGGCUCAUGUCCUUAUGGAGGACUAUGUUUACGAACUCAAGAUGUACAAGAAGGAGGAUAUACGCAAUCUAGACAAGUCUCAAUGGUACACCCGUGUCCACGUCAAAGCGGUGGGGACAGUGAAACGAGAUCAUCCGACCAAGAAGAAACUGGACGGACUGGUUGGCGAUCUCAUGGCCGAUUUAAAAACCAAAUCAAAUCUGCGAAUGGAGAAGACGUUCACUUAUGGCCAAAAACAUUAGACGAUUUAUUACUAACAUAUCCGUGCUGCCCGCCAGACGCCUUUUUUAACAUUAAAGAAUUUUACGAUAAUCCCAAAUUAAAUUACUUAGACGAAUCGUCUAAAAAAGUUCGAGUCGCCUUGCGCAAUUGGUGUGCCCGUAUUGCCGAAUGGUCCAUAUCUGAUUUCGAUAAAUUUUAUAACGCACCAGGUGUAUUUCCUUAUUUUAAUGCUUAUGCUCGUCAACACGAUCAAGUGUAUUACGACGUUAAUUUUUCAGUGAAAAUAGCCAAUGAUUUAUUAGAAUUACAAUGAGUACGAGCAAUCCCCGUGUAGUCUUUAUGAAAAGAGUCGUAAAUCUUGCUUUAAAUAAUUGCACCAACCAUCUUGCACCCAGACACACAUUAAAUACCAUAAUAACUGAAGUAAAUUCAGAGUUAAUUAUAAAAUUUGAUGACCAUUAUUUGAGAAGCAUUGAAAAAGAUAUUACAAAUUUAAUGAGGGAACUUUAUGGGUCCUUACGACCAUACAACAUCUCAAUGGCACUCGUAAACGCCGCCAUAGAGGGGGAUAGCUUAUUAGAUCCAAUUUUUGAACAUGAAAAUACGACAGAUAAAGCGAAAUAUUUUACUAAAGUACUAAAAAUAGCAUUUGAAAAUUGCACUAUUUAUAGAAGAAGACGAUUCGUAUCUAAUACUGCUGGGUCAGAUUUAUUGGAAAACAGAGGAUUGCUUAGAGAAUACGCCGUUAAGUUGUAUAACGAAUAUAU